GUUGAUUUAGGUUGGAGUCUGGAGCCACAUUGCUGUCAACCGUUUCCCAACAGUCAAUAAGAAUGCAAUUGCAAAGUUCCGCUGGGUGAAUAAUAAAACACAGGCUGGUUUUCAUAUGACAGGCAUGGAGACAGAUGUCACUGAAGCAGCUGCAGACGGGCUUUGUUUGAAAUACAGAGAUUAAAAAAAAAAAAAAAAUCCCAAUGUACACAAAAAUGCCAAAUAGCUUUUUGUACAAAGAAAGUAAAGAACACCUUGAGGCGGACCGAAAAACAAAAGCUGCCUUUCAGAUGUGUUCAUGACGAAUUGCAGAAAUGGGUUUACUUGCCCGGAGAGAUAGGCCACGAGAAGUAUGGAGCUAGUAGAGCCGAAUGAGAGAGAAGAAGAAUCCAGAAUAAAUGGUCACUUGACUGGCUGAGGUCAGAUCGUGUUCAGGUGACUACAACACAGAUGGAACCAAACGGCGAGGCGCUGAGAAAAGCCCCUUUCACCACCACCCCCCCCCCACCCUCACCCCC
Molecule: long non-coding RNA, 518 nt
Organism: Gasterosteus aculeatus aculeatus (three-spined stickleback)
Lineage: Eukaryota; Metazoa; Chordata; Actinopteri; Perciformes; Gasterosteidae
Source: Ensembl